This is a long non-coding RNA of Sapajus apella (tufted capuchin), 220 nucleotides long. RefSeq lists it as uncharacterized. NCBI's taxonomy places the organism in Eukaryota, Metazoa, Chordata, Mammalia, Primates, Cebidae. The record is from RefSeq and is a predicted model, not a curated record. The transcript is spliced from 3 exons.
AUCAGGGAAGUGGGGGAAAGCCAGCAGCCACAGGCCUCACCCAGUUCCCACACAGCCUGCAUCCUGAAAGGCUGGUCUCACUCCUACUGUGACCCCUCAACAGCACUGAAUUUACUUCCAGGCAGUUGGUGAGCAGGGUUGAGAACUUUCCCCAGGCUACAAGCCUCCGAGCUGAGAAAGCAAGCUACUCACAGCUCCUCAGCUUUUUAAUGUUUAUGCA